Long non-coding RNA from Mercenaria mercenaria, 471 nucleotides. RefSeq lists it as uncharacterized. The transcript is spliced from 5 exons. NCBI's taxonomy places the organism in Eukaryota, Metazoa, Mollusca, Bivalvia, Venerida, Veneridae. The record is from RefSeq and is a predicted model, not a curated record.
UGACAUCUGUGAAGUUCAUACAUGUACUAGUAACAUGGUGUUCAGAUAUGAAGAGAUGCAGGUCUACAUUGUUCAACACAGUGUAUGAGGGAAUUAGAGUGGAUGGCAAGGAUAGAAAACAUUUCACAAUUUUAGAAUGAUCAAGUUGCCUGUGAUGACUGUUCUUGCCAACUGCAGCGGAAUUCUGUAUUAUAGAUGAAAACUGUACAGACCAUGGAGUUCAGAAAUUGUGAGAUGCGGGUCUUAUUUGUUCAACACAGUUUUCAAGGGAAACAUAGCGGAUGGCAAGAAUAGAUAACAUUUCACAAUUUUACAAUGAUCAAGUUGCCUGAGAUGACUGUUCUUGUUGUGGCUCUAGUACAAACUGAAGCAGAAUUCUGUUUUAUAGAUGAAAACUUUGAAGUAUCAGUACAGACCAUGAAGUUCAGAAAUGAUGAGAUGCGGGUCUUAUUUGUUCAACACAGUGUUUAA